Molecule: transfer RNA, 64 nt
Filed under: Blastopsylla occidentalis
Lineage: Eukaryota; Metazoa; Arthropoda; Insecta; Hemiptera; Aphalaridae
Description: tRNA-Trp
Source: RNAcentral
UAAAGUCUUAAGUUAAGAAAAACUUUUAGCCUUCAAAGUUUAGAUUGGAAUUUUUCCAGACUUU